CCAUUUAUGGGAAUCUUUCGUGCCAUUUCGACUUCAUCGUACAGUCCAAAGUCACCCAUGAAGUGGGGCUGCACGUCCAAAAAGUUAUCGGAUACUCAAUCUGCUAAGAUGCACGCUGCAUGGCGUUGCGGUCGCCGGUACGCAGCACAGAGGUUCAUGGCUGUGAAGAACUCCCCGAGUGCCGCCCUGGAAGAUCCGCCAUCCUCCGCCCACGCCCUCCUCAUCACCUCUCNNNN
Molecule: long non-coding RNA, 236 nt
Filed under: Hordeum vulgare
Lineage: Eukaryota; Viridiplantae; Streptophyta; Magnoliopsida; Poales; Poaceae
Description: long non-coding RNA (HVUL_LNC016597)
Source: RNAcentral